UCCGGAGUUUCUCCUGCGAGUCCCCGCCAUUACGCGCUGGCAACACAGGACAAGGGUUGCGCUCGUUGCGGGACUUAACCCAACAUCUCACGACACGAGCUGACGACAGCCAUGCACCACCUGUAUACCGACCACAAGGGGGGCCGUAUCUCUACGGCUUUCCGGUAUAUGUCAAACCCAGGUAAGGUUCUUCGCGUUGCAUCGAAUUAAUCCACAUGCUCCGCCGCUUGUGCGGGCCCCCGUCAAUUCCUUUGUGUUUUAGCCUUGCGGCCGUACUCCCCAGGCGGGGUACUUAAUGCGUUAGCUACGGCACGGAUCCCAAGGAAGGAAACCCACACCUAGUACCCACCGUUUACGGCGUGGACUAC
Molecule: unclassified non-coding RNA, 368 nt
Filed under: uncultured Nocardiaceae bacterium
Lineage: Bacteria; Bacillati; Actinomycetota; Actinomycetes; Mycobacteriales; Nocardiaceae
Description: contains 16S-23S intergenic spacer region
Source: RNAcentral